Molecule: long non-coding RNA, 645 nt
Filed under: Homo sapiens (human)
Lineage: Eukaryota; Metazoa; Chordata; Mammalia; Primates; Hominidae
Description: HSALNT0243900
Source: RNAcentral
CCGGGUGCAGUGGCUCAUGCCUGAAAUCCCAGCACUUGGGAGGCUGAUACAGGAGGAUUGCUUGAGCCCAGCAGUUCGAGGCCAGCCUGGGCAAUGUAGCAAGAUCCUGCCUCUAAAUUAAAAAUAAAUAAAUAAAUAAAUAAAACAAAAACUGAAAACAAACAAUAACAACAAAAAAACAAGAUACUUAGUCUCUACAAGGCACAGUGUAAAAUAUUGUUGUCUUCAUCUAGAAGGAAGGAAACUAAUAGGUCAGAGUACAUUUAAAACUUCCAACAAAUAGAUGAAACAUAACGCAUAAGAGUGUGACUUCACAGAAUACCUCCCGGGGGACACAGGACCUGAGUGCUGCAUGCAGGAGGUGGUGGACAGGUGGGGACAGACAGAUGUGUGGAAGAGUAUGUGGGGCAGAUGAACUAGGCUGAAGAGAGAACUGGGCAGAGCCUUCUUCACACAGCCUUUUAAACAUUUUUUUGCAGCUGGGCAUGAGCCACCACGCCCAGCCUGGGUAGACAUGUUUUUAAUUCUCUUAGUUACAUACCUAGGGGUGGAAUUGCUGGGUCAUAUGUAACUCUAUGUUUAACUUCUUGAGGAACUACCAAAUUGUUUUCUGCAGUAGUUGCGUCAUUUUACAUCCCCACCACU